Molecule: ribosomal RNA, 477 nt
Filed under: uncultured bacterium
Lineage: Bacteria
Description: bacterial SSU rRNA
Rfam family: Bacterial small subunit ribosomal RNA
Source: RNAcentral
GACGAACGCUGGCGGCGUGCUUAAUGCAUGCAAGUCGAACGAGGAACCCUCUCUGGGUAACCAAAGAGGAAUUCCUAGUGGCGAACGGGUGAGUAACACGUGAGAAACCUGCCCCGGAGAUCGGGAUAGCCCAGGGAAACCUGGAUUAAUACCGAAUACCCUCGUACGGUCGCAUGGCCGAUCGAGGAAAUGGUCCGCUGCUCCGGGAUGGUCUCGCGUCCUAUCAGCUUGUUGGUGAGGUAAAGGCUCACCAAGGCUAUGACGGGUAGCUGGUCUGAGAGGACGAUCAGCCACACUGGGACUGAGACACGGCCCAGACUCCUACGGGAGGCAGCAGCAGGGAAUUUUGCACAAUGGGCGCAAGCCUGAUGCAGCGACGCCGCGUGGGGGAUGAAUGCCUUCGGGUUGUAAACCCCUUUCAGGAGGGACGAAGCGAAAGUGACGGUACCUCCAGAAGAAGCCCCGGCCAACUACGUG